UCUCCGUUGGUGAACCAGCGGAGGGAUCAUUACCGAGUUUACAACUCACAAACCCAAUGUGAACCAUACCAAACUGUUGCCUCGGCGGGGUCACGCCCCGGGUGCGUCGCAGCCCCGGAACCAGGCGCCCGCCGGAGGGACCAACCAAACUCUUUCUGUAGUCCCCUCGCGGACGUUAUUUUUACAGCUCUGAGCAAAAAUUCAAAAUGAAUCAAAACUUUCAACAACGGAUCUCUUGGUUCUG
RNAcentral lists this unclassified non-coding RNA (244 nucleotides) under plant metagenome. Its description in RNAcentral is "partial contains small subunit ribosomal RNA, internal transcribed spacer 1, and 5.8S ribosomal RNA". The record is from RNAcentral.